GAUUAACGUUGGCGGUGCGCUUUAUGCAUGCAAGUCGAACGGGGUUAUGUUUUUCGGACUGUAACCUAGUGGCGAACGGUUGAGUAACACGUAAAUAACCUACCUCUGAGUGGGGGAUAACCUGUCGAAAGGCAGACUAAUACCGCGUGUGGUAAUCAGGGAUUGCCUGGUUAUUAAAGCCUUAGGGCGCUCGGAGAGGGGUUUGCGUCUGAUUAGCUAGUUGGUAGGGUAAUGGCCUACCAAGGCGACGAUCAGUAGCUGGUCUGAGAGGAUGUCCAGCCAGAUGAGGACUGAGAUACGGCUUCAACUCCUAUGGGAGGCAGCAGCAAGGAAUUUUGGGCAAUGAGCGAAAGCUUGACCCAGCGACACCGCGUGAGGGAAUAAGGCCUUCGGGUUGUAAACCUCUUUUCUCGGGGAAGAAUAUUGACGGUACUCGAGGAAUAAGUCUCGGCUAACUACGUGCCAGCAGCCGCGGCAAGACGUAGGAGGCAAACGUUAUCCGGAUUUACUGGGCGUAAAGAGAGCGUAGGUGGUUCUUUAAGUCAGGUGUGAAAUCUUUUGGCUUAACCAGAAGGGGUCAUCUGAUACUGGGGGGCUUGAGGGCGGCAGAAGGAAACGGAAUUCCCGGUGUAGCGGUGAAAUGCGUUGAUACCGGGAAGAACACCAGUGGCGAAGGCGGUUUCCUAGGCUGUUUCUGACGCUGAGACUCGAAAGCGUGGGGAGCGAAGCGGAUUAGAUACCCGCGUAGUCCACGCCCUAAACGGUGGACACUAGAUAUGGGGAGUAUCGACCCUCCUCGUGUCGAAGCUAACGCUUUAAUGUCCCGCCUGGGGACUACGACCGCAAGGUAAAACUACAAAGGAAUCGAACGG
RNAcentral lists this ribosomal RNA (872 nucleotides) under uncultured bacterium. Its description in RNAcentral is "bacterial SSU rRNA". It matches the Rfam family "Bacterial small subunit ribosomal RNA", at positions 28 to 917 of the family's 1533-position model. The record is from RNAcentral.